Molecule: ribosomal RNA, 245 nt
Filed under: uncultured bacterium
Lineage: Bacteria
Description: partial 16S ribosomal RNA
Rfam family: Bacterial small subunit ribosomal RNA
Source: RNAcentral
UACAGAGGGGGCAAGCGUUAUUCGGAAUUACUGGGCGUAAAGGGCGCGUAGGCGGUUUUUUAAGUCGGAUGUGUAAUCCCCGAGCUCAACUUGGGAACUGCAUCCGAAACUGGGAAGCUAGAGUGCUGGAGAGGGUGGUGGAAUUCCACGUGUAGCGGUGAAAUGCGUAGAGAUGUGGAGGAACACCAGUGGCGAAGGCGGCCACCUGGACAGUAACUGACGCUGAGGCGCGAAAGUGUGGGUAG